RNAcentral lists this transfer-messenger RNA (252 nucleotides) under Streptococcus vestibularis. Its description in RNAcentral is "partial transfer-messenger RNA". It matches the Rfam family "transfer-messenger RNA", at positions 1 to 275 of the family's 374-position model. From Rfam's summary of the family: Bacterial tmRNA, also known as 10Sa RNA or SsrA, is named for its dual tRNA and mRNA-like properties. Its role is to liberate the mRNA from a stalled ribosome. To accomplish this part of the tmRNA is used as a reading frame that ends in a translation stop signal. Lineage: Bacteria; Bacillati; Bacillota; Bacilli; Lactobacillales; Streptococcaceae. The record is from RNAcentral.
GGGGUCGUUACGGAUUCGACAGGCAUUAUGAGGCAUAUUUUGCGACUCGUGUGGCGACGUAAACGCUCAGUUAAAUAUAACUGCAAAAAAUAACACUUCUUACGCUCUAGCUGCCUAAAAACCAGCAGGCGUGACCCGAUUUGGAUUGCUCGUGUUCAAUGACAGGUCUUAUGAUUAGCGAGAUACGAUCAAGCCUUGUCUAGUGGUUUGAUAAGAGAUUAAUAGACUCGCAGUUCCUAGGCUUGAGUUAUG